CCUACGGGAGGCAGCAGUGGGGAAUAUUGCACAAUGGGCGCAAGCCUGAUGCAGCGACGCCGCGUGAAGGAAGAAGGCUUUCGGGUUGUAAACUUCUUUUAAGAGGGAAGAGCAGAAGACGGUCCCUCUUGAAUAAGCCACGGCUAACUACGUGACAGCAGGCGCGGUAAUACGUAGGUGGCAAGCGAUGUCCGGAUUUACUGGGUGAAAAGGGCGUGCAGCCGGGAAGGCAAGUCAGAUGUGAAAUCCCGGGGCUCAACCGCGGAACUGCAUUUGAAACUGUUUUUCUUGAGUACCGGAGAGGUCAUCGGAAUUCCUUGUGUAGCGGUGAAAUGCGUAGAGAUAAGGAAGAACACCAGUGGCGAAGGCGGAUGACUGGACGGCAACUGACGGUGAGGCGCGAAAGCGUGGGGAGCAAACAGGAUUAGAUACCCGAGUAGUC
This 442-nucleotide ribosomal RNA is filed under the name uncultured bacterium. Its description in RNAcentral is "partial 16S ribosomal RNA". It matches the Rfam family "Bacterial small subunit ribosomal RNA", at positions 338 to 795 of the family's 1533-position model. The record is from RNAcentral.